CCAGACUCCUACGGGAGGCAGCAGUGGGGGAUAUUGGACAAUGGGGGGAACCCUGAUCCAGCGACGCCGCGUGAGCGAAGAAGUAUUUCGGUAUGUAAAGCUCUGUCAGCAGGGAAGAAAGCAAUGACGGUACCUGACCAAGAAGCCCCGGCUAACUACGUGCCAGCAGCCGCGGUAAUACGUAGGGGGCAAGCGUUAUCCGGAAUUACUGGGUGUAAAGGGAGCGUAGACGGCUGUGCAAGUCUGGAGUGAAAGGCGGGGGCCCAACCCCCGGACUGCUCUGGAAACUGUAUGGCUGGAGUGCAGGAGAGGUAAGCGGAAUUCCUAGUGUAGCGGUGAAAUGCGUAGAUAUUAGGAGGAACACCAGUGGCGAAGGCGGCUUACUGGACAGUAACUGACGUUGAGGCCCGAAAGCGUGGGGAGCAAACAGGAUUAGAUACCCGAGUAAU
Molecule: ribosomal RNA, 449 nt
Filed under: uncultured bacterium
Lineage: Bacteria
Description: bacterial SSU rRNA
Rfam family: Bacterial small subunit ribosomal RNA
Source: RNAcentral